CCUACGGGGGGCUGCAGUGGGGAAUCUUGCGCAAUGCGCGAAAGCGUGACGCAGCAACGCCGCGUGGGGGAAGAAGGCCUUCGGGUUGUAAACCCCUUUCAGGAGGGACGAAGGUCCGGCGGUGAACAGCCGUCCGGACUGACGGUACCUCCACAAGAAGCCCCGGCUAACUACGUGCCAGCAGCCGCGGUAAUACGUAGGGGGCGAGCGUUGUCCGGAAUCAUUGGGCGUAAAGCGCGCGUAGGCGGCCCGGUAAGUCCGCUCUGAAAGUCCAG
RNAcentral lists this ribosomal RNA (275 nucleotides) under uncultured Thermoleophilum sp. RNAcentral describes it as "partial 16S ribosomal RNA". It matches the Rfam family "Bacterial small subunit ribosomal RNA", at positions 338 to 605 of the family's 1533-position model. The record is from RNAcentral. Lineage: Bacteria; Bacillati; Actinomycetota; Thermoleophilia; Thermoleophilales; Thermoleophilaceae.